Molecule: unclassified non-coding RNA, 472 nt
Filed under: Hevea brasiliensis (rubber tree)
Lineage: Eukaryota; Viridiplantae; Streptophyta; Magnoliopsida; Malpighiales; Euphorbiaceae
Source: RNAcentral
UGGAAUAAAAGAAUUCAAUUAUUUUUAACUUUAAAUUUCGCAUUUUCCACCGUUUGGGGCACUGAGAAAAUGGGUCAACAGAAAAGAAAACUAAGAAAUUUUUUAGAGGAAGCCAUUUUCCAAACUUUGACAAUUUUAUUAAAAUGUGAAAACACUUAUACAUGUAUGACAAACAUUUAUCAUUAGUUUAAUAUUGCAAACAAAUAAUGGAGAACAUUUUCUAUAUAAAAGCUAUUUUCCGCAAAACAAAUGAAGCCUAAGCAUGAUUGUGUGAGAAUUUAAUUGAAUUUUUUUCUUGCAAAUGAUUUAUCCCAAAUAAAGCAAUAAUGAAAGUAAUUUGAAUUCAUUCUUUCACUUUUCAUAUUAGUUUGAGAUGAUAAUUAUCCAAUAUCCUUUAGAACCAAAAAAAUAAGAGAAAAAUUCUCAUAAGGGACAAGAAACAAUUUCACAACUUUUAUUAAUUCUCAAAUUA